CCCUCUUGUUUGGAUAAUUACAACCACCCCCUCAACUGAUCAAAUUUAGUGGAAUCUUCGAGAUUAUAUGAAAUAUUAUCACUUUUGUACCCGUUUUAUCCCAUUCAAACUCUACAUUAUGAAGCAAGAUGACCAUAAUAUGUGAUUUUAGCUUGUAUAUAUCAGUUUGUGGUGCAUCGAAAACUGUAUUUUUUACACAAAGAGUACAAACUAGAGCACAUUUCACGGAAUCUAGAUGACUAUGUUGAAUUUAGCACCAUAAAGGUAAGAAAAAAUCAUAGUUGAGGG
RNAcentral lists this long non-coding RNA (288 nucleotides) under Erythranthe guttata (spotted monkey flower). RNAcentral describes it as "long non-coding RNA (EGUT_LNC002484)". Lineage: Eukaryota; Viridiplantae; Streptophyta; Magnoliopsida; Lamiales; Phrymaceae. The record is from RNAcentral.